Molecule: ribosomal RNA, 24 nt
Filed under: Aglaia aff. eximia Bloembergen 4643
Lineage: Eukaryota; Viridiplantae; Streptophyta; Magnoliopsida; Sapindales; Meliaceae
Description: partial 26S ribosomal RNA
Source: RNAcentral
UGCGACCCCAGGUCAGGCGGGACU